UACGAAGGGUGCAAGCGUUACUCGGAAUUACUGGGCGUAAAGCGUGCGUAGGUGGUUUGUUAAGUCUGUUGUGAAAGCCCCGGGCUCAACCUGGGAAUGGCAAUGGAUACUGGCAAGCUAGAGUGCGGUAGAGGGUAGUGGAAUUCCCGGUGUAGCGGUGAAAUGCGUAGAUAUCAGGAGGAACACCUGCGGUGUAGACGGCUUACUGGACCAUAACUGACGCUGAGGCACGAAAGCGUGGGUAGCAAACAGG
This 253-nucleotide ribosomal RNA is filed under the name uncultured bacterium. Its description in RNAcentral is "partial 16S ribosomal RNA". It matches the Rfam family "Bacterial small subunit ribosomal RNA", at positions 524 to 776 of the family's 1533-position model. The record is from RNAcentral.